AGAGUUUGAUCAUGGCUCAGGACGAACGCUGGCGGCGUGCUUAACACAUGCAAGUCGAACGGAAAGGCCCCUUCGGGGGUACUCGAGUGGCGAACGGGUGAGUAACACGUGGGUGAUCUGCCCUGCACUUUGGGAUAAGCCUGGGAAACUGGGUCUAAUACCGAAUAGGACCGCAUGCUUCAUGGUGUGUGGUGGAAAGCUUUUGCGGUGUGGGAUGGGCCCGCGGCCUAUCAGCUUGUUGGUGGGGUAAUGGCCUACCAAGGCGACGACGGGUAGCCGGCCUGAGAGGGUGUCCGGCCACACUGGGACUGAGAUACGGCCCAGACUCCUACGGGAGGCAGCAGUGGGGAAUAUUGCACAAUGGGCGCAAGCCUGAUGCAGCGACGCCGCGUGGGGGAUGACGGCCUUCGGGUUGUAAACCUCUUUCAGUAUCGGCGAAGCUCCAGGAUUUUUCUUGGGGUGACGGUAGGUACAGAAGAAGCACCGGCCAACUACGUGCCAGCAGCCGCGGUAAUACGUAGGGUGCGAGCGUUGUCCGGAAUUACUGGGCGUAAAGAGCUCGUAGGUGGUUUGUCACGUUGUCUGUGAAAACUCACAGCUUAACUGUGGGCGUGCGGGCGAUACGGGCAGACUGGAGUACUGUAGGGGAGACUGGAAUUCCUGGUGUAGUGGUGGAAUGCGCAGAUAUCAGGAGGAACACCGGUGGCGAAGGCGGGUCUCCGGGCAGUAACUGACGCUGAGGAGCGAAAGCGUGGGGAGCGAACAGGAUUAGAUACCCUGGUAGUCCAA
RNAcentral lists this ribosomal RNA (789 nucleotides) under uncultured bacterium. RNAcentral's name for it is "bacterial SSU rRNA". It matches the Rfam family "Bacterial small subunit ribosomal RNA", at positions 8 to 798 of the family's 1533-position model. The record is from RNAcentral.